UUAACUCAAAUUUGUAUGGAGUUGGAACGUUUGCCUAUGUUUGUUGCCAGGGGCGUCGUUCCAACUGCACCCAAAUUUGAGUUA
This is a non-coding RNA of Bombyx mori (domestic silkworm), 84 nucleotides long. The record is from Rfam. NCBI's taxonomy places the organism in Eukaryota, Metazoa, Arthropoda, Insecta, Lepidoptera, Bombycidae.